This is an RNA transcript of Spinacia oleracea (spinach), 2185 nucleotides long. It is a transcript of the gene named transcription initiation factor TFIID subunit 15b, with no coding region annotated. The transcript has 7 exons. Lineage: Eukaryota; Viridiplantae; Streptophyta; Magnoliopsida; Caryophyllales; Amaranthaceae. The record is from RefSeq and is a predicted model, not a curated record.
UGACUGGACGUCUUUUAUCUUUCUCUCUUACCCUAGAAUUGCUUACCCUCCCCCCAACCUAUUUUCUCUCUCUACUCUCCCUUAUUUUCUCUCUCUAAUUUCCCGUUUUAGAAAACCCUAGAUCUCGCCUCACGAUGUACGGCGGUGGCGGUGAAUCCAAUCCUCCUCCCUCAGGUGGAGGCUACGGAGGUGGUUAUGGAGGAGGCGGAUAUGGAAGUGGAGGCGGCGGAAGCUAUGGAGGCGGUGGUGGCCGAGGCGGCGGGGGUGGAGGAGGUUAUGGUGGCGGUAGCAGAGGUGGCGGAUAUGGCGGUAAUUCUGACAGUCGAGGCGGUGGAUAUCAAGGAGGAGGUGAUCGUGGAGGCCGUGGCGGGGGAAGAGGAGGAGGUGGCAGAGAUGGAGGCGGCGGCCGUGGAGGAAGUGGAAGAGACGGCGAUUGGCCUUGCCCUAAUCCAGGUUGCGGAAACUUGAACUUUGCGAGAAGAACAUCUUGUAACAAAUGUGGGGAACCUGCUCCUGCGGGCGGUGGUGGAGGUGGAGGUGGAGGUGGUGACCGCAGAGGCGGAGGUGGAGAAGGUGGCUAUAGUAGAGGAGGCAGUGGAGGAUAUGGAGGUGAUAGAGGGGAUAGGGGUAGGGAUAACAAUUAUGAUGGUGGAAGAGGAGGUAGCAGAGGUGGUUCUUAUGGUGAUGGUCAGGGUAGAAAUGAUGGAGGAUAUGGCCAGGCUCCUCCACCUGCAACUUCUUAUGGUGGAGCUGUGCCAAGCCCUUAUGGAGCAAACCCUGCAUAUGGGAAUGACUCUGCUGUCCCGCCACCAACAAGCUAUACUGGUGGGCCUGGAUCUUAUCCUCCAUCAUAUGGAGGACCUGCCGGUUCUGGCCGCGGCGGUCCACCUAGUGGUGGGUAUGGUGGUGAUGCUUCUGGAGAUUAUCGCGGUGCUGGACGCGGUGGUCCACCUAGUGGUGGGUAUGGCGGUGGUCAAAGGCAGCCGAGUGGUGGUUAUGGUGGCGAUGCUCCAACAUCUGCUGAACCUGCAAAAGUGAAACAAUGUGAUGAAAACUGCGGAGAUUCUUGUGACAACUCUAGGAUUUAUAUCUCAAAUUUGCCACCAGAUGUUGCUGUUGAAGAACUCAGAGAACUUUUUGGAAGCAUUGGAACUGUCGCAAGAAUCAAGCAAAAGAGGGGAUACAAGGAUCAGUGGCCUUACAGUAUAAAACUAUACACAGAUGACAGUGGAAAGAACAAGGGUGAUGGUGUUCUGUCAUACGAGGACCCAUCAGCAGCUCAUUCUGCCGGGGGCUUUUUUAAUGGUCACGAUAUCAGAGGAUACAAGAUUAAUGUUUCCAUGGCAGAGAAGUCUGCCCCAAGGGCACCUCAAUCUUUUGGAGGCGGAGGUAGAGGUGGUUAUGGGGGUGGAGAUCGUCGAAGAGACUAUGGAGGUUCUGGUCCAGAUAGGCAUUCUCAUGGUGGAAAUCGUUCCCGUCCAUACUGAGAAUUUGCGUGGCAUAUAAUGUACUAAGAAAAUAUGUUAUCUUGAGGAAUUUUAUUGUAGUCUCGCUGCGGGGUUGUUCCCAAAAGGAGAUAAAGAGGUAGGUUGUUCGCUUACUUUGAGCAAUGCCCCUUUACUCCUUUAGUAGUUAACUUCGAGGGGUUUCUUUUUCCUAGGGUUUGGAUUGAUUUGAACUGUGUGACUGUCUUUUAUAGAGGCAAGUGGAUAAAUCUCCAAAAUUGCUGCUAAGAUAGUUGAACAUUUCAGAUUUUAGCUUGCAUUUAUGAGUCAAAUCAAGAUUUGGAAGCUGAUCAUUGAUUCUGCUUGGGCUUUUUUUGGUAUCAAUGCUGAUUUUGUUUUGCUGGAAACUAAUUUCACAUCAUUGAUUCUGAGGAUUGGAUGCCUAGCAUGUUUUAGAUCAAGAUCUUGCAGAUAACGAUUGAAUUUGGGAAAAAAAUGAACUGAAACUUACAGUGAGAUUCAGUAGGCUCUUGAAUUGUUUCAGUUUUGAGUUGAAAAUGGAACCAACUCAGAGUUCAGCCUCCAAAAAGAUGAUGGCCAUAUUUGAUUCUUCAUUCUUGAUCUUUUUUUUCUUUUUUCUUUUUUCUUUUUCCUGUUGAAUUCUUGAUCUCUUUAUUGUACCAGUAUUGUUGAUGUUGGUGCUUUAUAUUACUUCGUAGAUAGCCUUAGUGGCUUAGUUA